AUGCGGUCGGUGCUGUGGACGAACCUGCUGGUGCCGCCGAUCAGCGUGCUGCUGGGCAACCUCGCCGGUGUGGUGGUGGCAGUGUCGUACGGGAUGGGCCACGGGUACGAGUCGUGGGGCCCGCUGGACUGGAAGCUGGUGUUCGCCGCGUGGGUGGUGGCGCAUUUGCAGGGGUUCCUCAGGGGGCUCCUCUCGCGACGGGAACGGGCGCCGACCCUCGCCGUGCUCUGGUCGGUGCUCUUCGUCUCCAUUCUGUCGCUGAUGUGGGUGAACACGCAGACGUACUAUGGGCCGUCGGUGCCAUCGACCACGCAGCAGCCCAUCUUUUGA
RNAcentral lists this ribosomal RNA (330 nucleotides) under Triticum aestivum (bread wheat). RNAcentral describes it as "partial small subunit ribosomal RNA". Lineage: Eukaryota; Viridiplantae; Streptophyta; Magnoliopsida; Poales; Poaceae. The record is from RNAcentral.